This is a long non-coding RNA of Rhododendron vialii, 832 nucleotides long. RefSeq lists it as uncharacterized. The transcript is spliced from 2 exons. Lineage: Eukaryota; Viridiplantae; Streptophyta; Magnoliopsida; Ericales; Ericaceae. The record is from RefSeq and is a predicted model, not a curated record.
UGAAGGUCAGUGCAAGUAGUUAUAUUUUUUCUUGUCUUGUAUGCUGAUGAUAUUCUACUUUGCUGCUAAUGAUACUGCAUUUUUUACUGAGACGAAGCAAUUUCUCUUUAUGCAUUUGAUGUGAAGGAUCUUGGUGAGACAUCUUAUGUUUUUGGAUAUCCAAAUCCUUCGUGAUAGAACAAAUGGUAUUCUUGGCUUGUCUCAAAAACCUACACUAACGAAAUUUUGAGUAGGUUUAACAUGCAGUCUUGUUCUCCUGAAAAAGUACCUAUUGUGAAAGGGUACCAAGGUUUUUGUGCUUACUUACUGAUGAGCCAAUAUUCUAAAUGUGGUUGGAUACACUAAUGCUAAUUAUGCUGGUUGUAUAGAUGACAGAAAAUCCACCUCUGGUUAUGUGUUUAUGAUGGCAGACAAAGCUAUAUCUUGAAAAGUGUCAAAUAGACACUUACAGCUAAAGUACAUAGCUUGUUAUGAAGCUACGUGUCAUGCUUUAUGGCUGCGCAAUUUUAUUUCUAGGUUAAGAAUUGUUGAUUCCAUUUCGAAACUACUAAAGAUAUUUUGUGAUCACUCUGCUGCAGUUUUAUAAAUGUUGAACACAUUUUCACAGAGCAAAUGUUGGCUGGCCCACUAACUAAAGGUUUAGCUCCUAAAGUCUUUCAAGAGCAUGCGACUCAUAUGGGAUUAAUUGAGUUUUCUAUUGAUUUUACUUAGUGGGAUUUUUGUAUAUUGUAAUCAGCUGCUACUGUGUUAAUGGUGAUAUUUUGGUUGAUCAUACUCUCGAGAAUUUAUGUAUGCAUGCUAUGAUCAAUGUCUAUUGCCAUAUUUUGUUGUG